This 253-nucleotide ribosomal RNA is filed under the name uncultured bacterium. RNAcentral's name for it is "partial 16S ribosomal RNA". It matches the Rfam family "Bacterial small subunit ribosomal RNA", at positions 524 to 776 of the family's 1533-position model. The record is from RNAcentral.
UACGGGGGGGGCAAGCGUUGUUCGGAAUUACUGGGCGUAAAGGGCUCGUAGGCGGCCAACUAAGUCAGACGUGAAAUCCCUCGGCUUAACCGGGGAACUGCGUCUGAUACUGGAUGGCUUGAGUUCGGGAGAGGGAUGCGGAAUUCCAGGUGUAGCGGUGAAAUGCGUAGAUAUCUGGAGGAACACCGGUGGCGAAGGCGGCAUCCUGGACCGGUAUUGACGCUGAGGCGCGAAAGCCAGGGGAGCAAACGGG